This 1033-nucleotide long non-coding RNA is filed under the name Felis catus (domestic cat). RNAcentral's name for it is "lncRNA (ENSFCAG00000049927.1)". The record is from RNAcentral. Lineage: Eukaryota; Metazoa; Chordata; Mammalia; Carnivora; Felidae.
ACUAUGGAAUACUACAUAGCCAUUAAAAAUAAUAAGAAAAGUAGAUAAUUUUAGAUAGAUCUAGAUAUAAAUAAGAAUAACAUGAAGUGAAAAAGUCCAUUUGCAGAACAGUAUGUGUAGUCUAAUUUUGAUUAUGAAAAGUGCAUACACAAAUAAAAGUGAAUAUGUAAAGAAACUUAAAGACACAUCUAUAUUUAAUGCAAUUAACUCUGAUGGAUAGCUGUUGAAGGCAUAGCAAGAACAUUCUUUCAUAUUCUUAUUCGUAUUGAUAUGGAGUGUGUUGAUUUUUGGCCAUAAACAUAUAUAUCUUUCAUUUAAACUUUUAUAAAGUGACCCCCUGAGUGAUUGAAAAUAUUAUUGACUCUAGAAAAUAUUAUUGACUUUUAUAUUGAUAAAUAAAAAUAUCUGCAUGGAUAAAAAGGUGGGCUUAGUGGCUUUUUAGGUGCUAAGUUUUCUUUCUGCUUUUCAUAUUUUAUUUGCCAGAUAUUCUAUAGUGAGUACUAUUGCUCCACCCAAAAUGUGUUGAAAACAAAAUCCCAAAGAUUGAGAUCCAGGGGUCAGCAUUUUAUGAAGCUCUUGGGAUAAGUCUGGCAGUUAGUUGGGUUUGAGAGUAACUGACAAAGGCUUCACAUCUCUAAAGGAUUUAAAGACAACAAGAAGCUUAGAAUUUGAAUAUGCCUAGAAAGAGUGAUUUCACUUAAAUUUUGCUUGAAGAUAAAUUCUAGAGAAGUUAAUUGUUUCCUUCCUAUUCAUGAAUACUGAUUCAGCACUCCUUUUUGGCUUCCAGAUUCUCAAUCUACUGUGGUGAUGCUAUUACUUUGGACUUACCAAUUUGGGCUUCUUCCAGCGCUAAAAACCGAUUACAAAUAUGAAACAGAUUUUACUACUGGACUUGAAUACCAUAUUAAAAACAAGAAGAUCGUCAAAAUAAUUGAAAAAGAUCCUUACCAAAGAAUAGAUGCAAUGUGAAUGGCAAGAUAUCGAGGAGGUAAGAGGUAAAUUUCUUAAUAAAAACAUGUUUGUCAUGUGGUCA